Sus scrofa (pig) is the source of this 1529-nucleotide long non-coding RNA. RefSeq lists it as uncharacterized. Lineage: Eukaryota; Metazoa; Chordata; Mammalia; Artiodactyla; Suidae. The record is from RefSeq and is a predicted model, not a curated record.
GUGGCCCUAGAAAAGGCAAAAAGACAAAAAAAAAAAAAAAAAAAAAAUUCUGUUUAAAGGUGAGUAUAUGUUUCUUUUUUUUCUAAGUUCAAGAACUUCAAGAUAUAUCAAUAUGCCAGGUCAGAUAUCCUGCAACCCUGCCUGCAACACACACCAGAGUUAAUGGAUCAAAUAUAACAAAUAUCUUUUUUAAAUGCAACACUGAGCUGGCAAGUAAGUAAAACCAAAGGGCAGGAAAAAAAAGCACAAUUAAAACCACAGCAGUAUUAAUUUUGGACAGGAUAGACUUUAAGCAAAGAAUAAUAUUAGGGAUUAUAAAAGUCAUUACAGGAUGCUAAAAGGAAUGAUUCAACAGGAAGAAAAAAAAUUAUAAACUUAUAUACACCUAAUAAUUUAGAGCUUUAAAAUUGAUAACAUAUGUAGUAGACAUAACUACUAGGAGAAACUGAUGGAGAUUUUUUAAUAUACCUCUGUCAUUAGUUGAUCACAUAAAUGAAAAAAUUUGUGUGUGAAAAUUGGACAACCCAAUUAAUCCACCUUAUCAUGUAUGUAGAUGCAUACUCUGCAAUCAGUUUUAGAGAACACAUUAUUUUCAAGUAUAUAUGGAACAAUUAUAAAAACUGAUCAUGUAUUAGACCACAGAACAGUUCUCAAAUACCAAACGAUCCGUAACAAAGAUACUAUAUUCUCUGAUCAUGAUGCACCAUUUUCCUAGAGAAAAAUACAAUUUAUUAAAGCUACUCAUAACCGUUAAAUAAUGUGUCACUUUGGCUAGGCUGACCUACACUGUUCAGACUUGCCUUUCUUGUGUUUAUUGUCAAGGUGGGCCCAAAGGGAAGCUGAGAAAUCUGGAAAGCAAAGAGAAGCAGCCACCAUUGUGUGGCUCCCACACGCUGCUGAGCUGCCGACUCACCUUGUUGGUGUGAAGUGGAGCUAAGCCUGCGGUUGCUCCAGGUGCCCCUGGAUCCCGGUCAGCUGCUCUGAUUCCCGGGCCAGUUUGCCAGCUUGUGCCUGUGGGGUUGAGCCUGCUCCUGAUCUCCCCUGACUGCCUGCCCUGUGGACCUCAAGCUCCAGGAUCAGUUUCGAGAGGAAGAUUCAGACUCGCCUCUGCAAUUGGAACAUUUCCUAGUCCCCAUCUCAUCUGGGGCCUCGCAGCGAGCAGGGGCAUCAUGCGUGCAAAACGCUCAUCAGCAUGUGCAGGCAGUGCUUCACCCCUGUGCCUCUAGAGAAAGGCCCAGAACCAGUGCCUGGAGGGUUCCAGAAGCUCCUGGGAAUCACAAGAAUGUUCCUCACCCGCACCCUGCCCAGAGGCCUAAGCAGAGAACUCAAGAUGGAAAAAGGAAGGGCCGUUGCCCGACGCCUCACUGUCCUUCUAGCCUCUCCUCCUAACGACCAUCCAAUGAAAACACGGAAACCUGGUCACAUCUUGAGGCGUUAGGGGUGUGACGGGGGCACGAGAAGGGCAACACGAGGAUUCAGAUGCCACAGAGGAGAGGGAAGCGGGGAGGAGGACAACAGGUAGCAACAUG